Carassius carassius (crucian carp) is the source of this 399-nucleotide long non-coding RNA. RefSeq lists it as uncharacterized. NCBI's taxonomy places the organism in Eukaryota, Metazoa, Chordata, Actinopteri, Cypriniformes, Cyprinidae. The record is from RefSeq and is a predicted model, not a curated record. The transcript has 3 exons.
UCUCAUCAAUCUGCGUAUAAAUAACACGACUUUACACUUUCUAGUUGCGUGUAAUGCAUAUGCCAAAUGACUAUUUUGCGUGCAUAUGAUACGCCAAUCCUUCACAAUAAUUUAGGUGGAGAGCAAAUGCGUCCAAAUACCACGCAUCAUUUUCAGCGGCAGUGACAUCACCAGCGAGGCUCUUCCAGUUCACCUGAUGCGCGUGCACCUUCAAACAGGUAAGCAAAGGACUUCAACUCCACGCUCCCAAUGCUGAUUUUGAAGAAGCUGUCAAGGGGGCUGAACAAGUCCUUCAAAGGUUCAACCCUUCACAGGAAUGCCUGUCAUGAGAUUUGAAUUUGACCAUCUUUUGCAUUUAUGAAGAAGACCAAAAGCUGCAAAGGCAAACACUUCCAAUGG